Molecule: non-coding RNA, 563 nt
Organism: Poecilia reticulata (guppy)
Lineage: Eukaryota; Metazoa; Chordata; Actinopteri; Cyprinodontiformes; Poeciliidae
Source: RefSeq, a predicted model, not a curated record
GGGCGCUGGAGUCACGUCUGUGGAGGCACCCUCAUGUCCCAAGAAUGGGUCCUGGACUGCUGCACACUGCAUCAAGUUCCGUGAAGUCGACGACUACAGAGUGAAGCUGGGGAAGCACAGUCUGAAGGCCACUGAGGAAGGCUCAGUCGCUCGCAGCGCAACCAAGAUCAUUACUCAUGAAGACUACAACAUCCUGCUCAGCCGGAAUGACAUUGCUCUGAUUAAGCUGUCUUCCCCUGUUGCUUUGUCUGAUACAAUCACACCUGCGUGCCUUUUAGAGUGGGACGUCGUUCGCCCACAUGGGACCCCUGGUUUUGUCACUGGCUGGGGGCGUCUGUCAAGUGAGUGAUCCAAAGAGAAAUGAGACAAAGCUUAACUAUUAGCUAAACCAAAGGUUGGACGAAAGGUUUGGUGACUGUUUAUCCUGAAUUAUGCAUGAGUACUGUGAACAGUCAGCUAGCGGCGAUGUACAUUGUCUACAUUAGUUGAGCUUACACAUUUGCCACAUAGUACAACAGCAAACCUUUAUGGGAGAGAGCAACAAAAGUAGCACUUAACAGCAU